GGGCGAGUGUUGUUGGGUUGGGGUUUGAGUUUAAUUUUGAGACUGACGGCAUUGCUGGAGAGAGAGAGAGAGAGAGAGAGUAGGAGGUAGAAGUAAGGUUGAGUAGUUGANAGAGAGAGAGAGAGAGAGAGAGGUGAAUGUGAAGAAGGUUUGAGAGUUGAGGUGGCGGAAGAGAAGAGUGUGUAUUAAAGUGAAAGGAUUUGCAGAAAAUAGAUGCGAGAAAUGAAACAUGAAUUUUGUAAACUUUAAUGAAAAUGUAGGUAUUUGCAAAUCCAUUUUAUAAGUAGACACUUAUAAAAUGAUCUGUUUC
This 310-nucleotide long non-coding RNA is filed under the name Salvia miltiorrhiza (redroot sage). RNAcentral describes it as "long non-coding RNA (SMIL_LNC007636)". The record is from RNAcentral. Lineage: Eukaryota; Viridiplantae; Streptophyta; Magnoliopsida; Lamiales; Lamiaceae.